AGUGAACGCUGGCGGUAGGCCUAACACAUGCAAGUCGAACGGCAGCACAGUAAGAGCUUGCUCUUACGGGUGGCGAGUGGCGGACGGGUGAGGAAUACAUCGGAAUCUACUUUUUCGUGGGGGAUAACGUAGGGAAACUUACGCUAAUACCGCAUACGACCUACGGGUGAAAGCAGGGGAUCUUCGGACCUUGCGUGAUUGAAUGAGCCGAAGUCGGAUUAGCGAGUUGGCGGGGUAAAGGCCCACCAAGGCGACGAUCCGUAGCUGGUCUGAGAGGAUGAUCAGCCACACUGGAACUGAGACACGGUCCAGACUCCUACGGGAGGCAGCAGUGGGGAAUAUUGGACAUUGGGCGCAAGCCUGAUCCAGCCAUACCGCGUGGGUGAAGAAGGCCUUCGGGUUGUAAAGCCCUUUUGUUGGGAAAGAAAAGCAGCAGGUUAAUACCCCGCUGUUCUGACGGUACCCAAAGAAUAAGCACCGGCUAACUUCGUG
RNAcentral lists this ribosomal RNA (492 nucleotides) under uncultured bacterium. RNAcentral's name for it is "partial 16S ribosomal RNA". It matches the Rfam family "Bacterial small subunit ribosomal RNA", at positions 29 to 507 of the family's 1533-position model. The record is from RNAcentral.